GCUGGGUGUGGUGGUGCACGCCUGUAAUCCCAGCUACUUGGGAGGCUGAGGCAGGGGAAUUGCUUGAACCCGGGAAGUGGAGGUUGCAGUGAGCUGAGAUCAUGCCACUGCACUCCAGCCUGGGUGACAGAGAGAGACCCUGUCUCCA
Molecule: signal recognition particle RNA, 148 nt
Filed under: Gorilla gorilla gorilla (western lowland gorilla)
Lineage: Eukaryota; Metazoa; Chordata; Mammalia; Primates; Hominidae
Description: Metazoan signal recognition particle RNA
Rfam family: Metazoan signal recognition particle RNA
About the family: The signal recognition particle (SRP) is a universally conserved ribonucleoprotein. It is involved in the co-translational targeting of proteins to membranes.
Source: Rfam by way of RNAcentral